Molecule: ribosomal RNA, 229 nt
Filed under: uncultured bacterium
Lineage: Bacteria
Description: partial 16S ribosomal RNA
Rfam family: Bacterial small subunit ribosomal RNA
Source: RNAcentral
UCCGUAGGCGGGUAAUUAAGUCAGUGGUGAAAUCUCUCGGCUCAACCGGGAAACUGCCAUUGAUACUGUUAGUCUUGAGUUCGGUUGAGGUAGGCGGAAUGUGUAAUGUAGCGGUGAAAUGCUUAGAUAUUACACAGAACACCAAUUGCGUAGGCAGCUUACUAGACCGACACUGACGCUGAGGCACGAAAGCGUGGGUAGCGAACAGGAUUAGAUACCCUGGUAGUCC